This 466-nucleotide unclassified non-coding RNA is filed under the name uncultured Russula. RNAcentral's name for it is "sequence contains ITS2". The stretch from base 1 to 154 matches the Rfam family "5.8S ribosomal RNA". The record is from RNAcentral. Lineage: Eukaryota; Fungi; Basidiomycota; Agaricomycetes; Russulales; Russulaceae.
AACCUUUAGCAACGGAUCACUUGGUUCUGGCAUCGAUGAAGAACGCAGCGAAAUGCGAUAAGUAAUGUGAAUUGCAGAAUUCAGUGAAUCAUCGAAUCUUUGAACGCACAUUGCGCCCCUUGGCAUUCCGAGGGGCACACCCGUUUGAGUGUCGUGAAAUUCUCAAAACCCUUUUCCUUGAUCGGAAUAGGACUUUUGGACUUGGCGGUUCAAUGCUCGCUUUCGCCUUUGAAAGCGAGCUCCUCUCAAAUGAAUUAGUGGGGGCCGCUUUGCCGAUCCUUGACGUGAUAAGAUGUUUCUACGUUUUGGAUUUGGCACUGUUUUCUCCGCUCCUAACCGUCUCAUGGACAACGAUGGUGCUCCGGUCGCCGCCGUCUAUGGCGGGAGGCUGGACCCACAAACAACCCUUGACCUCAAAUCGGGUGAGACUACCCGCUGAACUUAAGCAUAUCAAUAAUCGCAGGCU